CAGGGACAGUAAGACACUGGAACAGGCAGUCUGGGAUAAGUAUUUCGUUGAUGGAGCUGCAGCCACGGAAAUCCAUCUUUCAGAGAAGCCAUCAAAGGCCAAGCAGCCUCAUCCGACAUGGCAAUUAAAAAUAUUUUUCCCCGUUGAAGCAAAGAACUUAACCUCAAUGCUCCAGCACGACUCCAGGAUCAGGUCUGAAACUGCUGCAGCAACACUGCACCCUACCCAGAGUUUGCUCCGCAGCUGUGAUCCUCUGCUCGGCAGGGCCCAAUUUUACUGGUAAAAUGACACCAGCCUCCCCUACGACUUGCAAACAACCUUGAAAGGUGCAAGAGAAGUGGCUCUUCCUAUCGUGCCUCAGGAGCAAGCCGAGGUGGGAGGUCACCUUAUUGCCAAGCAUGCUGGAACAUGGCCUGUCAAGUUGCUCUAGAGAUGACUUCCCUUCACAAGCACAAAGCUAGCAUGCAAAUUCUUCUGACUUUGCUCCUUAAGCAUGUGGGGCCCUGGAAA
Tyto alba (common barn owl) is the source of this 510-nucleotide long non-coding RNA. RefSeq lists it as uncharacterized. The transcript is spliced from 3 exons. The record is from RefSeq and is a predicted model, not a curated record. NCBI's taxonomy places the organism in Eukaryota, Metazoa, Chordata, Aves, Strigiformes, Tytonidae.